This 578-nucleotide ribosomal RNA is filed under the name uncultured bacterium. Its description in RNAcentral is "bacterial SSU rRNA". It matches the Rfam family "Bacterial small subunit ribosomal RNA", at positions 102 to 694 of the family's 1533-position model. The record is from RNAcentral.
ACGGGUGAGUAACACGUGGGUGAUCUGCCCUGCACUUCGGGAUAAGCCUGGGAAACUGGGUCUAAUACCGGAUAUGACCUCCUAUCGCAUGGUGGGUGGUGGAAAGAUUUAUCGGUGCAGGAUGGGCCCGCGGCCUAUCAGCUUGUUGGUGGGGCAAUGGCCUACCAAGGCGACGACGGGUAGCCGACCUGAGAGGGUGACCGGCCACACUGGGACUGAGACACGGCCCAGACUCCUACGGGAGGCAGCAGUGGGGAAUAUUGCACAAUGGGCGAAAGCCUGAUGCAGCGACGCCGCGUGAGGGAUGACGGCCUUCGGGUUGUAAACCUCUUUCAGCAGGGACGAAGCGCAAGUGACGGUACCUGCAGAAGAAGCACCGGCUAACUACGUGCCAGCAGCCGCGGUAAUACGUAGGGUGCAAGCGUUGUCCGGAAUUACUGGGCGUAAAGAGUUCGUAGGCGGUUUGUCGCGUCGUUUGUGAAAACCAGCAGCUCAACUGCUGGCUUGCAGGCGAUACGGGCAGACUUGAGUACUGCAGGGGAGACUGGAAUUCCUGGUGUAGCGGUGAAAUGCGCAGA